CAGCCUGAUCCAGCCAUGCCGCGUGCAGGAUGACGGUCCUAUGGAUUGUAAACUGCUUUUAUACGAGAAGAAACACUCCGACGUGUCGGAGCUUGACGGUAUCGUAAGAAUAAGGAUCGGCUAACUCCGUGCCAGCAGCCGCGGUAAUACGGAGGAUCCAAGCGUUAUCCGGAAUCAUUGGGUUUAAAGGGUCCGUAGGCGGUUUGGUAAGUCAGUGGUGAAAGCCCAUCGCUCAACGGUGGAACGGCCAUUGAUACUGCCAGACUUGAAUUAUUAGGAAGUAACUAGAAUAUGUAGUGUAGCGGUGAAAUGCUUAGAGAUUACAUGGAAUACCAAUUGCGAAGGCAGGUUACUACUAAUUGAUUGACGCUGAUGGACGAAAGCGUGGGUAGCGAACAGGAUUAGAUACCCUGGUAGUCCACGCCGUAAACGAUGGAUACUAGCUGUUGGAAGCAAUUUCAGUGGCUAAGCGAAAGUGAUAAGUAUCCCACCUGGGGAGUACGUUCGCAAGAAUGAAACUCAAAA
RNAcentral lists this ribosomal RNA (525 nucleotides) under uncultured Flavobacterium sp. RNAcentral describes it as "bacterial SSU rRNA". It matches the Rfam family "Bacterial small subunit ribosomal RNA", at positions 379 to 906 of the family's 1533-position model. The record is from RNAcentral. Lineage: Bacteria; Pseudomonadati; Bacteroidota; Flavobacteriia; Flavobacteriales; Flavobacteriaceae.